GGGGGGGGGGGGGGGGGGGGCGGGGGGGGGGGGGUGGGGGGGGGGGACGGGGGGGUGGCUCGGGUGGGGUUGGGGGGGGACGGGUGGGUAGCACGUGGAUAACCUACCUAUAGGUGUGGGGUCACUUCGGGAAAGCGGCGCUCCUACCGGCUACUAUAUUGACCCGGAUGGUUCAAUGGUGAGAGCCGGUUUUGAUGUCACUUGUCGAUGGAUCCGCGCCGCAUUAGCUAGUUGGGAAGGUAAAGGCUUACCAAGUCAACGAGGCGUAGCCGACCUGAGAGGGUGAUCGGCCACACUGGAACUGAGACACGGUCCAGACGCCUACGGGAGGCAGCAGUAGGGAAUCUUCCGCAAUGGGCGAAAGCCUGACGGAGCAACGCCGCGUGAGUGAUGAAGGUCUUCGGAUCGUAAAACUCUGUUAUUAGGGAAGAACAAAUGUGUAAGUAACUAUGCACGUCUUGACGGUACCUAAUCAGAAAGCCACGGCUAACUACGUG
RNAcentral lists this ribosomal RNA (497 nucleotides) under uncultured bacterium. Its description in RNAcentral is "partial 16S ribosomal RNA". It matches the Rfam family "Bacterial small subunit ribosomal RNA", at positions 38 to 507 of the family's 1533-position model. The record is from RNAcentral.